RNAcentral lists this long non-coding RNA (844 nucleotides) under Sus scrofa (pig). RNAcentral's name for it is "lncRNA (ENSSSCG00025053133.1)". Lineage: Eukaryota; Metazoa; Chordata; Mammalia; Artiodactyla; Suidae. The record is from RNAcentral.
AAUAAUUACAGUUCACCGAAAUUCUGAGGGUCUAAGCAUGUGUUUGGAGUUCACGGAGUUCCCACUGGGGCUCAGCAGGAUAAAAACGUAACUAGUAUGCAUGAAGAUGCGGGUUCGAUCCUUGGCCUCACUCGGUGGGUUAAGGGCAUGGCGUUGCUGCAAGCUGCGGCUUAGGUGGUAGAUGCGGCUGGGAUCUGGUGUGGCUGUGGCAGGGGCGUAGGCCUGCAGCUGCGGCUCCAAUUGAAUCCUUAGCCUGGAUUCCUUUCAUAUGCUGCACCUGUAGCCAUAAAAAGGAAAAAAACAAUAAUAAUUACAGUUCACAAAACUGCUGGCUUUGAUCCUCUUGUCCCUUCCAACUCAGUAGCCUGGAAACCUCCCAGACCUCUAUCUUAAGAUCUGUGCUUUUCUGUGGCACUUUCUCCCCUCCUCAUUGUUCUGGGUUCAUUAGAUAAAAUUGUCCCAAACUCCUGAUGAGAGAUGAUCUAUUGUGAGAUACCUUUGUGAGGCAGAACACAGGAAACCUCAGGGUCUUAUCUCCUGUGAGCCGUCUGUUUUUCCCCAACAGCCCAAUAAAGGAGACUCCUCAGCUGGCAGGGAGUGGUUGCGAAGGCAGUCACGGUCCCCAGGCCCCUGACCCCACCCUCCACGGCCCUCUCUGUCGCAGAUGUCGUAAAAUGUCUCUCUCCUCAUCAUGGAUCAAAGCUGUUUUCAUCAUUUCCUUGGCAGGACCUCUUCAUUCUGGUGAGUAGAUUUUCAUCUGCAGUGAAACAUGUUACAUAUCUUAGAAAGUGCAGGAAAAAGUUCUGUAAUCCAGGAAUGGAGGAGCUUGUGUUUUAUUGGGUUU